UCUCUCCUUUGUGUUUUGCAGGUUGGGUCUGUGAAGCCUGGAGAUUCGACUAGUUCUCCCGAGAAUCAAUUUCAAGUAGCUCAAUCCAGUCCUCUUUCUCAAGGAAGCUAAGGCGAUGCUAAAGAUAGAAAAUUUGAGGGUCUUGAAACAUAUUUUAAAGGCCAACGAAGAAAGGAGUGAAGGUCGCUGCCAAGAAAAAGAUGGUAUGACCUAGAUGAUUUGUUUUUUUUUUUCUAAUUUGUAGUAAGUUUUCGAACAUUCAAUUAUUGUGUGUUUCUAUUUUAAAUGUUGAGUUUUUUUUUUCCUGUGCUUUGCUUGAUUUUGAUGCAAACUUGAUAUUUCGAUUAACACUUUUCUGGAUGUGAAGGAGUUCGAUAAGAGAGCAAGUUUUGGCUUCAUUGUUGCCGAAUUCAACAGGGACUUGUUAUUUUUCAGUCUCAGGAGAAGCUAAUUUGAAUGUAACUAUACCCUUUGACAAGUUUAUGCUCUAACUAGCUAGUGUGCAGUUUUUUUUUUAACUUAAUUAAACUCCUAACUAGGUACAGAGUGCAAAAAUAUAUUUCUUUUCUUGACCAACCAUAAUAUUUACUUUGCAGGAGGAUCGAGCAGAGUUGGAAAACUAGACCAACCAUAAUUUUUGUUGAAUUAUCAAUCUCAGGCCAUGAAAGUACAUACAAGUGAGAAGGAAGGUGUUUAGGAGAAGGAG
Arabidopsis lyrata subsp. lyrata is the source of this 706-nucleotide long non-coding RNA. RefSeq lists it as uncharacterized. Lineage: Eukaryota; Viridiplantae; Streptophyta; Magnoliopsida; Brassicales; Brassicaceae. The record is from RefSeq and is a predicted model, not a curated record. The transcript is spliced from 3 exons.